CUGGUAGAGGAGCCUCAGUUUGAACAGACAAUUAUGGUGUGAUGGUUGUGUUCAGAGCAUAUUAAUGUGCAGAGGAGAAGCUGUAGCAAGGAGACAACAGUGAAGACUUCAUAGAAGAUGAGGUUAGAGUAAAUCUUGAAAAGUGGGUAAGAUUUACCGGAUGAGAAAAGAGAAGGGCAGUACUUCUGAUGGAUAUGGCAUAAGAACACAAUAAUGUUAGACUGGGGGCUGGUGAUAUAGCUCAAUGGAACAGCACCUGCCUGCAAUUGAAAAGGGACCUCAGAUGACCACUUCGUGACUUCUUGCAAUCAAGUGUGGAUAUUCCAGAAGGCAACCAGAGCUUUGCUAAGUUUACCGGGCUGGACUGGACCUUUCCACCUUACUGCUUCCACUUCCCAGAGUUCUGGGAUUACAGAGCCGAGGAUUGAACUCAAGCCCUUGUGCUUG
This is a long non-coding RNA of Octodon degus (degu), 447 nucleotides long. RefSeq lists it as uncharacterized. Lineage: Eukaryota; Metazoa; Chordata; Mammalia; Rodentia; Octodontidae. The record is from RefSeq and is a predicted model, not a curated record. The transcript has 4 exons.